RNAcentral lists this ribosomal RNA (253 nucleotides) under uncultured bacterium. RNAcentral's name for it is "partial 16S ribosomal RNA". It matches the Rfam family "Bacterial small subunit ribosomal RNA", at positions 524 to 776 of the family's 1533-position model. The record is from RNAcentral.
UACGUAGGGCGCAAGCGUUGUCCGGAAUUAUUGGGCGUAAAGAGCUCGUAGGCGGUUUGUCGCGUCUGCUGUGAAAACCUAAGGCUCAACCUUGGGCUUGCAGUGGGUACGGGCAGACUAGAGUGCGGUAGGGGUGACUGGAAUUCCUGGUGUAGCGGUGGAAUGCGCAGAUAUCAGGAGGAACACCGAUGGCGAAGGCAGGUCACUGGGCCGAUACUGACGCUGAGGAGCGAAAGCGUGGGGAGCGAACAGG